RNAcentral lists this ribosomal RNA (427 nucleotides) under Actinomycetes bacterium. Its description in RNAcentral is "Actinobacteria bacterium partial 16S ribosomal RNA". It matches the Rfam family "Bacterial small subunit ribosomal RNA", at positions 355 to 776 of the family's 1533-position model. Lineage: Bacteria; Bacillati; Actinomycetota; Actinomycetes. The record is from RNAcentral.
UAGGGAAUCUUCCGCAAUGGGCGAAAGCUUGACGGAGCAACGCCGCGUGAGUGAUGAAGGUCUUCGGAUCGUAAAACUCUGUUAUUAGGGAAGAACAAAUGUGUAAGUAACUAUGCACGUCUUGACGGUACCUAAUCAGAAAGCCACGGCUAACUACGUGCCAGCAGCCGCGGUAAUACGUAGGUGGCAAGCGUUAUCCGGAAUUAUUGGGCGUAAAGCGCGCGUAGGCGGUUUUUUAAGUCUGAUGUGAAAGCCCACGGCUCAACCGUGGAGGGUCAUUGGAAACUGGAAAACUUGAGUGCAGAAGAGGAAAGGAAUUCCAUGUGUAGCGGUGAAAUGCGCAGAGAUAUGGAGGAACACCAGUGGCGAAGGCGACUUUCUGGUCUGUAACUGACGCUGAUGUGCGAAAGCGUGGGGAUCAAACAGG